This 253-nucleotide ribosomal RNA is filed under the name uncultured bacterium. RNAcentral describes it as "partial 16S ribosomal RNA". It matches the Rfam family "Bacterial small subunit ribosomal RNA", at positions 524 to 776 of the family's 1533-position model. The record is from RNAcentral.
UACGUAGGGUCCGAGCGUUGUCCGGAAUUAUUGGGCGUAAAGAGCUCGUAGGCGGUUUGUCGCGUCUGCUGUGAAAUCCCGAGGCUCAACCUCGGGUCUGCAGUGGGUACGGGCAGACUGGAGUGCGGUAGGGGAGAAUGGAAUUCCUGGUGUAGCGGUGGAAUGCGCAGAUAUCAGGAGGAACACCCGUGGCGAAGGCGGCUUUCUAGGAUAUACCUGACACUGAGAAGCGACAGCUAGGGGAGCAAACAGG